GCGGCUGUAGUAUAGCCUGGUAGUACGCGGGAUUGCCAAUUCUGUGACCCGGGUUCAAAUCCCGGCAGCCGCA
Molecule: transfer RNA, 73 nt
Filed under: Nitrososphaeraceae archaeon
Lineage: Archaea; Thermoproteati; Nitrososphaerota; Nitrososphaeria; Nitrososphaerales; Nitrososphaeraceae
Also listed under: 2 other names
Description: tRNA-Gly
Rfam family: tRNA
About the family: Transfer RNA (tRNA) molecules are approximately 80 nucleotides in length. Their secondary structure includes four short double-helical elements and three loops (D, anti-codon, and T loops). Further hydrogen bonds mediate the characteristic L-shaped molecular structure. tRNAs have two regions of fundamental functional importance: the anti-codon, which is responsible for specific mRNA codon recognition, and the 3' end, to which the tRNAs corresponding amino acid is attached (by aminoacyl-tRNA synthetases). tRNAs cope with the degeneracy of the genetic code in two manners: having more than one tRNA (with a specific anti-codon) for a particular amino acid; and 'wobble' base-pairing, i.e. permitting non-standard base-pairing at the 3rd anti-codon position.
Source: RNAcentral